This 301-nucleotide ribosomal RNA is filed under the name uncultured bacterium. Its description in RNAcentral is "partial 16S ribosomal RNA". It matches the Rfam family "Bacterial small subunit ribosomal RNA", at positions 509 to 807 of the family's 1533-position model. The record is from RNAcentral.
CAGUCGCCGCGGGAAUACGAAGGGUGCAAGCGUUAAUCGGAAUUACUGGGCGUAAAGCGUGCGUAGGCGGUGAGUUAAGUCUGCUGUGAAAUCCCCGGGCUCAACCUGGGAAUGGCAGUGGAUACUGGCAAGCUAGAGUGUGUCAGAGGAUGGUGGAAUUCCCGGUGUAGCGGUGAAAUGCGUAGAGAUCGGGAGGAACAUCAGUGGCGAAGGCGGCCAUCUGGGACAACACUGACGCUGAGGCACGAAAGCGUGGGGAGCAAAUAGGAUUAGAUACCCCCGUAGUCCCUGUCUCUUAUAC